GUCUGUGGCCAUGCCACCCUGAACAAGCCUGAUCCCGUCUGAUUUCGGAAGCUAAGCAGGGUCGGGCCUGAUUGGUACUUGGAUGGGAGACCACCUAGGAAGACCAGGUGCUGUAGGUG
Molecule: ribosomal RNA, 119 nt
Filed under: Pteropus alecto (black flying fox)
Lineage: Eukaryota; Metazoa; Chordata; Mammalia; Chiroptera; Pteropodidae
Source: RNAcentral